GACAGAGGGUGCGAACGUUGUUCGGAAUUACUGGGCGUAAAGCGCAUGUAGGCGGCAGCGCAAGUCGGGCGUGAAAUCCCACGGCUCAACCGUGGAAGUGCACUCGAAACUGCGCAGCUAGAGUCCUGGAGAGGAAGGUGGAAUGCUUGGUGUAGAGGUGAAAUUCGUAGAUAUCAAGCGGAACACCGGUGGCGAAGGCGGCCUUCUGGGAGGGUACUGACGCUGAGACGCGAAAGCGUGGGGAGCAAACAGG
This 253-nucleotide ribosomal RNA is filed under the name uncultured bacterium. RNAcentral describes it as "partial 16S ribosomal RNA". It matches the Rfam family "Bacterial small subunit ribosomal RNA", at positions 524 to 776 of the family's 1533-position model. The record is from RNAcentral.